AGAGGUUAUUGAAAAGAUAAAGGUCAACAAGUUCAACAGCAAAAUCUCUCAUUCAAGAGAAACUUCAUCUCAGAUUCCUAUGGAUCAAAAAGAUAUAAUCGUUGGACUAGAUGAAGAUUUACUAAAGAAUAAAAGAUCGACUCAUCGUGCAAUCAUCAAGCCUCGAAGUUGUCCCCAUUAUAGGGAUGGGUGGUAUUGGCAAGACCACACUGGCUAGAAGAGUUUAUGAUGAUUCCUUGAUUGCAUACCAUUUUUAUGUUCGAGCAUGGACAAAUGUAUCUCAAGAAUUUGACACUAGAGAAAUUUUUCUUGGUAUUCUUUGCUCCAUCAACGAUGAAGUAGAAAGAAACAGUACUACUGAGCAAUUGGCUGAAAGAGUUUAUCGAAGUUUAAAAGGGAGGAAGUAUCUCAUUAUCCUUGAUGAUAUGUGGUCUAUCGAUGCUUGGCAGCAUGUUAGGAGAUCAUUUCCGGAUGAUCAUAAUGGAAGUCGAAUCGUGUUGACCACGAGGCUUGUAGAUGUUGCAUCUUGUGCUAGUUCUGGCAAUUCCCUUCACCAGAUGCGUUUUCUGAGCAUGGAGGAAAGCUGGACUCUUUUACGCGAGAAGGUCUUUGGGAACGGUAGUUACCCUCCGGAAUUGGAGAAAAUUGGGAGAUACAUUGUCCAUCAGUGUCAAGGGUUGCCACUUGCAGUUGUUGCAACUGGUGGACUACUUUCCAAGAUGAGCAAGGAAACAAGUUCUUGGGAAAAUGUUGCAGAAAAGGUAGGAUCACUCAUGACAAGUGACACUAUGGAUUGCUUGAACAUACUCUCUUUGAGCUACAACCACUUGCCUCAAUACUUGAAAACAUGCUUCCUUUAUAUGGGAGUUUUGCUAGAAACUCGUGAGAUCCCGGUCUGGAAGUUAAUAAGGUUAUGGAUUGCUGAGGGGUUCGUCAAGAAAGUUCAACAUGAAAAUCUAGAAGAUGUGGCGGAGGAAAAAUUUGAGGGAGUUGGUUGAUAGAAGUUUGGUUUGGUGGGGAAGCAUACUUCCCUAGGAAAAAUCAAGACUUGUAAGAUGCAUGAUCUCGUUCGAGAUAUGUGUUUGAGAGAAGCCCAAUAUGAGAAUUUUAUACACUUCAAAACGAGGUAUUACCAAGAUGAUCUUCUAGAAAACAUUAAUUGUCUACGUCGUAUAGUUGAUUUCCAUAAGUAUACAGACAGUGGACUUUCUAAACUUAUGCCACUCACACGUUCUGUUUUCUUCAAAUAUCCAUACUUUUUUUGUUUCCUCUCACAGUCAAGCUUUAGAUUACUUAGGAUAUUAGAUGUUUGCUUUACUUCUUCUUUGUUCUGUGGUCAGUCCAUAUCAGAACUUGUUCAUUUGAGGUAUCUUGCUUGUCCGUCCUUCAAUGGUCUUAUGCAAUCACUAUGCAAGAUACGGAAUAUACAGAACUUAGUUAUUCAUGAUUUAUGUCCAUCUGGUUUAAGUAUGCGAACCCAGUUCCUACCAUGGGAAGUUGUGAAUAUGCCUCAACUAAGACAUAUCCAUACAAAAAAGUUUAGUCUUUUCAUACCCCCACCUACAUCACUAAUUGCUAAGAGGGAGAAUCAUUUACAAACGUUAACCGGAUUGAUGCCCUCAUCUUGUAAUGAAGAGGUGUUUCUAAGAAUUCCAAAUUUGAAGAAGUUGGGAAUAUUAAUUGUUGAUGAUUCAGACACUAUUCAGAAGUGUUAUUGUCUUGAUAAUCUUGUACAUUUAUCUCAGCUUGAGAAGCUCAAAGUUCAGUUCAGAGAGAGUUAUAUGCUAAUUUUCAGGUGGAUGAGCGAAGAUUGGAUGGACCUUUCUUCGCUACACAUUCCACAUUGUGACAAUUUCCCACCAAACCUUAAGAAGUUAACAUUGUGCAGAACACACAUACAAUGGGAAGACAUGAACAUUCUUAGAAAAUUACCUAAUCUUGAGGUGCUCAAACUUAAACAUCAUGCCUUUCUCGGACUAAUUUGGAAACUAAGCGAUGAAGAUGAAGAUGGAUUCUUGAAGCUAAAGUUUUUACUUCUUGAGAACAUGAAUCUGAUGCAAUGGGAAGCAACAAGUUAUCAUUUCCCAAACCUUGAGCACUUGGUUCUAACAGAUUGCUAUUUGUUGGAGCAAAUGCCUUUUGACUUUGCAGAGAUUCAGACACUACAGCUGAUUGAACUACACAAAUGUAAGUGUUCUGUUCUUGUUUCAGCAGAGCAAAUACAAGAGGAGCAACAAAGCUUGGGAAAUGAUGACCUCGUUAUUCAUGUGAACUAUAUACGUGAGUAAACAUUAAUCAAAAAAGGUAUACAUUUCUUAAAAGCAUAAAGAUUUUACUUGCUUCUUUUGUUUACAAUAAUGUUUUAUCAUUUUGAAUAUGUUGACUUUUAGUCAAUUUUAUUUUUUCUUUAGUUCAAAACAAUAUAAUAAAAGAGUUUAUGAUGAUUCCUUGAUUGCAUACCAUUUUUAUGUUCGAGCAUGGACAAAUGUAUCUCAAGAAUUUGACACUAGAGAAAUUUUUCUUGGUAUUCUUCGCUCCAUUGGCGUGGUCAACGAUGAAGUAGAAAGAAACAGUACUAAUGAGCAAUUGGCUGAAAGAGUUUAUCGAAGUUUAAAAGGGAGGAAGUAUCUCAUUAUCCUAGAUGAUAUGUGGUCCAUCGAGGCUUGGAAGCAUGUGAGGAGACUAUUUCCGGAUGAUCAUAAUGGAAGUCGAAUCGUGUUAACCACGAGGCUUGUAGAUGUUGCAUCUUGUGCUUGCUCUGGCAAUUCCCUUCACCAGAUGCGCUUUCUGAGUGUGGCGGAAAGCUGGACUGUAACAUCCGGCAAUUUGAAAUAACUAUGAAGAAGCUUGGAAUUGGAAAUAGUCAUUUUUGGAAAGACUUUUAAAAAAAUCUGGAAAAUUUGGUUGUUAAGUAUGGGUAAAAGGUGAGUUUUUGGCCAACUUUGAACAGUCAUAACGUCUAGCUCAAGAUGAGUUAGGUGUAGUUCCAGUUAUGUUUACAAAGCUCGUGGAAUGAUCUUUCCAACGCCAUCGAGUUUUCUCGAUUCUGAGUUCGUAUGAGUGAGUUAUGCCCUUUGGAAAUUGGGCAGUUGGCAGGGAAGUCCGUCCGGAAAUUUUAAGGGUAUUUUGGUCUUUUCCCUAACCAAUUCUUUUGGAUAUAUUAAGGUGUUAGACUGAUUUUAGAUCAGUUUUUCCCUUUUUGAAAGAGUGAGAGUGAGGGUUUGUGAGUAAAGAGGAAAAGAAGGGGAGAAAGAGAAGAUCAAGCAAGGUUUCGUCAAAGAUCGUCGUGGAUAUUGUCGGGGGUGAUCCCUACUAGGUAUGUGAGAUCAUAGUGUUUGGUUGGUUCAUUCCCCCACACGCCAAAUUCGUUUUAAUAUCCGAGAAAAGAUUUGGUUGUGUUUAUUGAAGUCUUGUGGUUGUGGUUGGUGAGGUUGUGGUUGUGUUAUUGAAGUUCUUGUGGAUUUGAGACAUGUUUUAGGUUGUGUUUUCGAGUUGAAUCUAUUGUGUAUUAAGGGGUUUUAAUGAUCCCAAGUGUUUGGGGAAGGAACCUUUGAAGUUAAGAGGGUUUAGAGUUGGUAACAUGAAGGAGAAAAGUCGGGCAGCUUGCAUGAAACAAGUCUGCGUCGCAGACUUGUUCCCUCUGUGAACAAAUCUGCUCCGCGUCGCGGACAGGACGCGGACUUCACUGUUUCAAAAAUUUAAUUUCGUAAUUUUUCUUAAGUUUAGCUGUCCUAAAUCAUUCCUAAACAUCAUGAGGUCUUUCCAAACACAAAUCAUGAAUCCUUGAAUCCAUAAUUCAAUUCAAGAAAGUUAGGAUCAAAGUCAAGUGAAGUUAAGAGUCAAGUCUAAAAGUUAAGAAGCAAGUCUUUAAAGCUUUUCAAGAGUCUUUAUUAAACGUUUUAACUUCGUUUUAAGGCUCAAGUUUCAAGUUAAGUAAAGUGUAUAGAGUUUCAAGUUAAGUAAAGAGUAUAGAGUGUCAAGUCAAGUAAAGAGUAAGAACAAUGUAGCCAAACAUGGGACUUAACGGGUUAUUCUUUUUAGAUGAUCACGUAAGAUUAAGCUAGUGGAUUCACUAAGUAAAGUAAGGUCCUAUAUCACGGAAAAGUAUAGGAUGGUCCUUGGGCAACGUGAGGUAAAACGUUGUAUCAUCACUAGGGCUCAUAGUGGUGGUUGUCGGUUAAAGAAUCUCCCACAAAAGUUAUAUUAACUUUUAUAUAAGUAAAGUUGAGUUGUUAUUGCUUUAUCCUUAACGAACUAAGUUGUUUACACUGUUUUGCAAGCUUUAUAUAUAUUGCGUGUGUCUUAUUGCUUUAUAUUGAGUUCGGUUAUUCAUGAGUUGAAUAGAGCCAAGGUAAGUGUUCUCUUGUACUCCUUUCAAGCUUAAGUUGUUGUUUAGCUUUCCAGCUCGCAUACUCGUACAUUAAAUGUACUGAUGCCAGUUGACAUGUAUCUUAUUAUGAUGCAGACACAGGUACCCAGGAUCAGCAUUCGGCACACCGUUGAUCCAGCCGAGCACUUCCGAGUCAGUGGUGAGCCUCUUUGCAUUCCGGAGUACUCAGUUAUUUUGUUCUCUUAGUUUGUUUUAUUAGGAUGUUCCGGGGUCUGUCCCAACAUCCAUCUCAGUGUUAUAGAGGCUUCAUAGACAGUCAGUCAGUUAGUAUUGAGUCUCUCAUCUAUGUAUAUAUGUAAAUAUUCUAUUUUGAGACUCGAGUUGCCUUUUUGGGCCAGAUUUUAUCAGUUAAGUUGUUUUAUGUCCUUGCAUUGCAUGGAGUUAUUCUGUUGAGUUAGGUUUCCGCUGAGUUAAGAAAGUCAGGCCAAAGGUUCGCUUGGGGCCAACAAUGGUCUUCGAGUGCCAGCCAUGUCCAGGGUAUAGGCUCGGGGCAUGGCAAUCUUUUACGCGAUAAGGUCUUUGGGAACGGUAGGUACCCUCCGGAAUUGGAGAAAAUUGGGAGGUACAUUGGCCACCAGUGUCAAGGGUUGCCACUUGCAAUUGUUGCAAUUGGUGGACUACUUUCCAAGAUGAGCAAGGAAACAAGUUCUUGGGAGAACGUUGCAGAAAAGGUAGGAUCACUUAUGACCAGUGACACUAUGGAUUGCUUGAACAUACUUUCUUUGAGCUACAACCACUUGCCUCAGUACUUGAAAACAAACAUGCUUCCUUUAUAUGGGAGUUUUUGCAGAAACUCAUGAGAUUCCGGUCUGGAAGUUAAUAAAGUUAUGGAUUGCUGAGGGAUUCGUCAAGAAAGUUUAUCAUAAAAAUCUUGAAGAUGUGGCAGAGGAAAAUUUGAGGGAGUUAGUUGAUAGAAGUUUGGUUUUGGUGGGGAAGCAUAGCUCCCUAGGUUUUAUCAAGACUUGUAAAAUGCAUGAUCUCGUUCGAGAUAUGUGUUUGAGAGAAGCCCAAUAUGAGAAUUUUAUUCACUUCAAAACAAGGUAUGACAACGAUGAUCUUCUAGAAAACUUUAAUUGUCUACGUCGUGUAGUUGAUUUCAAUAAAUAUGGAUACAGUGAAAUUCCUAAACUUAUGCCACUCACACGUUCUGUUUUCUUCAAAUAUCCACACUUUUUUUGUUUCCUCUCACAGUCAAGCUUUAGAUUACUUAGGAUAUUAGAUGUUUGCUUUACAUCUUUUUUGUACUGUAGUCAAUCCAUAUCAGAACUUGUUCAUUUGAAGUAUCUUGCUUGUCCGUCCUUUGAUGGUCUUGUGCAAUCAGUAUGUAAGCUACGGAAUAUACAGAACUUAGUUAUUCAUGAUUUAAAUUUAUCUGGUUUACAUAUGAGAACCCAGUCCCUACCAUGGGAAGUUGUGAAUAUGCCUCAACUAAGACAUAUCCAUACAAAAAAGUUCAGUCUUUUCAUACCCCCACCUACAUCACUAAUUGCUGAGAGGGAGAAUCACUUGCAAACGUUAACCGGAUUGGAGCCCUCAUCUUGUAACGAUGAGGUGUUUCUAAGAAUUCCAAAUUUGAAGAAGUUGGGAAUAUUAAUUGUUGAUUCAGACACUAUUAGGAAGUGUUAUUGUCUUGAUAAUCUUGUACAUUUAACUCAGCUUGAGAAGCUCAAAGUUGAGUUCAGCGAGAGUUAUCUGCUAAUUUUUAGGCGGAUUAGCGAAGGUUGGGUGGACCUUUCUUGGCUACACAUUCCACAUUGUGACAAUUUCCCACCAAACCUUAAGAAGUUAACAUUGUGCGGAACUUACCUACAAUGGGAAGACAUGAACAUUCUCAAAAAAUUACCUAAUCUUGAGGUGCUCAAACUUAAACAUCAUGCCUUUCACGGACUAAUUUGGAAACUAAGCGAUGAAGAUGAAGAUGGAUUCUUUCAGUUAAAGUUUUUACUUCUUGAGAGCUUGCAUCUGAAGCAAUGGGAAGCAACAAGUUAUCAUUUUCCAAGCCUUGAGCACUUAGUCCUAACAGAUUGCUAUUCAUUGGAGCAAAUUCCUUUCGACUUUGCAGAGAUUCAAACACUACAGCUGAUUGAACUACACAAAUGCAUGCUUUCUGUUCUUGAUUUAGCAGAGCAAAUACAAGAGGAGCAACAAAGUUUGGGAAAUGAUGACCUUGUUAUUCGUGUGAACUAUAUACGUGAGUAACAUUAAUAAAAAAGGUAUACAUUUUUUAAAAGCAUAAAGAUUUUUUUUCCUGAAUUUUUCUUACAUAGCUCUUAUCUUGGAUAACUUUUUCUAUCUUAUAAAAGUUAGUGUGCAGUACAAAAUAUUAAUUUGAUUAGCUAGAUUCUUUCGAAAUCUGAAAUUGAUUCUUAUAUUCAUCAUUUUUAUUUAUUUAUACUAUAAAAGGUGCUAAUUACAAUAGGUUUUGUGCAUUGCAGACAAAAAACUUAGUUGAUGGAGAGUGCCAUAAGAUAUACUCAAGCAUAAAUAAGUUGAUCACUCUUUGCAGUAGUUGAUCUUACCUUUCAGUGUAUUUCGAUUUCCUUUUUCCAGUUCAACUUGUUUGGGACUGAGGCUUAGUUUAGUGAAUUGUAUAUCUAGAUAUAAUUCAAAUAUAAUGCAUUUACUUUGGAAUGUGUAUGUAUUUGAACGUACUUCUCUUAGUUGCUUGUACCACCAUGUUGAAUCAAUAUAUUUAUUUGCAGGCAUUGUCCAAAAACAGGCACCUUGUUAUUAUAGUUAAAGUUAGCAAGCAUUUUCCUUCCAAGGAUCAAGUUCAAUUAUUCUGAGCAUGUUCAAUGGAUAACAGGGAUGGAAUAGAGGUUGAAUGGUAGGAGACAGUAUGCUUAGAGAGAAAGAAGGGUGUGAACUUUUUGUACGUCAUUUGCCUACUUUUUUUGAAACAUUCCCAGUCGUUUUGGUAGAUGAUGAUUGAAUUGUUAGACCCGAUGUUCCUUUUAUUAGGUGAGAAUCAGAGUUUAGUGUUGAACACGUAGGUGUAAUCAUUGAGUUCUACUGCUGUGAAGUGGGUGAAAUUUUCGAAUUAUAUCGUGCUACUUUGAAAACCUAUGGUGUUUCUUCAUAGCAGUCAAAAGGGUUGAUUUACUUUUGGCCUUUGGGCAUGCUUCGUUUGCUUUGCUCUUCUUCUUCAGACACAUUUGGCAUGACACUAGAACCUUGUUUGUGUUUUUUCUUAGGGUUGAUUUAUCAGAUAAUCACUCCAUUAAUAGUUAUUAUCUCAAAAAGUCACAAUUCUUCUUUUUUCCAAAUUUUUUUCUACAAAGAAAGUGACUUUCUGAGAUAAUAACUAUUAAUCGAGUGACCAUAUGAGAAAUCAACUCGUUUUUCUUUUAAGAAAUAUUCUUGUUGGUUCACUCAAUGAUGCCUUUUUAUCUUUUAUCAUCUUGCUAAUGGGACAUUGGACAAGUCUUUAAUUUAGACAAUCUUGUAGUUAGUUGCUAUGAAGUUUCAAAUUCCAUAGCAGAAACUCCAGUAUAUUGUCAUGGAGUAAAACUUGUAAAAACAACAACAUACCUAGUGUAGUAUCAUAAGUGAAGUCUAGGGAGGAUAAGAUGUACACAGACCAUAUCCCUACCUUUGUAGUGUAGAGACGGAGUUUGUUUCCGAUAGGCCCUCGACUCAACAAUAAAGAAAAGAACUUGAAGCAUGGUAGCAAGAAAAUAUGACAGAAAAAAAAGUAAGAUACAGAUCAAAUGAAGCAACAAAUAGUAAUACACAUCGAAGAAAAAGAAACAAAGUGCAACAAUACUUGGCUACCUACUAACCUUCUAAUCUAAUCCUCAACUUUCACUCCUUCCUAUCUAGGGUCAUAUCCGAAAUAAAACUUGUAGAUUUUGAAAUUACAUGACUAUAGUUAUUUUUCGAAGAUAUGUCCGAAAAGCGGCUCUCUAGUAUGAAUGUAGUUUGGGCAAGUUGUAUGACUUUGGGUGUCUGACAAACUAUUCCAACUUGCUUUUUGGUACAAGUCUUAAAUACAAUUUGAGUCUCAAUCUGACAAAUAAUUCAAUGAGCAAAACAAGAAUUCUCACUUCUACCUUCCACCAACCCCACCAUUACUCUCUUGGAGAGAAACAGACACAAAGAGAAGACUUCUCUUUACAAAGCCUUAAAAGUCUUGCAUUCCCAUCCAUUACAUUGCCUUCUUCUUUCAUAAAGAAUUGGUUUUGAGAAUCUAAAUCAACAACUCAGAACUUCCUCCUACUGUCCUGUUUAGCAAGAAACUAACAAACAGCGAUAUGGCGGCGUAUGCUGCUGUGAAUUCACUUUUGCAUACGCUGGAUAAUCUAUCUCAAACUCAUACAUCACAUUCUCUUCUUUACAAAAAAAAGCAAACUGAAGUCCUCAGUGACAAGUACACCUUCCUUAAAACCUUUCUUGAGGAUUUUACUAAUAUUUUCCAUGAAGAUGUAAAGAUGAAGCAUCUCGAAAGGAUAAUCCAAGAAGCUGCUAAUGGAGUGGAAGAUACUAUUGACUCACAUGUAUAUGAUAGCUCUGCCUUAGUACAAAGCAAGCGAGUACGAAGAAAGGCUUAUACGAUCUUUCAUCAAAACUUGGAAUAUGCAAUUGAGGAAAUUGGUUUGAUACAAAAAGAGGUUAUGAAAAAGAUAAAGGUCAACAAGUUCAACAGCAAAAUCUCUCAUUCAAGAGAUACUUCAUCUCAGAUCCCUAUGGAUCAAAAAGAUGUAAUCAUUGGACUGGAUGAAGACUUGCUAAAGAUAAAAGAUCGACUCAUCGUGCAAUCAUCAAGACUCGAAGUUGUCCCCAUUAUAGGGAUGGGUGGUAUUGGCAAGACCACACUGGCUAGAAGAGUUUAUGAUGAUUCCUUGAUUGCAUACCAUUUUUAUGUNNNNNNNNNNNNNNNNNNNNNNNNNNNNNNNNNNNNNNNNNNNNNNNNNNNNNNNNNNNNNNNNNNNNNNNNNNNNNNNNNNNNNNNNNNNNNNNNNNNNNNNNNNNNNNNNNNNNNNNNNNNNNNNNNNNNNNNNNNNNNNNNNNNNNNNNNNNNNNNNNNNNNNNNNNNNAAAGAAACAGUACUACUGAGCAAUUGGCUGAAAGAGUUUAUCGAAAUUUAAAAGGGAGGAAGUAUCUUAUUGUCCUAGAUGAUAUGUGGUCUAUCAAGGCUUGGCAGCAUGUGAG
This 9541-nucleotide long non-coding RNA is filed under the name Solanum tuberosum (potato). RNAcentral's name for it is "long non-coding RNA (STUB_LNC001180)". The record is from RNAcentral. Lineage: Eukaryota; Viridiplantae; Streptophyta; Magnoliopsida; Solanales; Solanaceae.